This 1314-nucleotide ribosomal RNA is filed under the name metagenome. RNAcentral's name for it is "bacterial LSU rRNA". It matches the Rfam family "Bacterial large subunit ribosomal RNA", at positions 1632 to 2925 of the family's 2925-position model. The record is from RNAcentral.
UUUAGAAAAACCGUACCGCAAACCGACACAGGUAGGCAGGGUGAGAAUCCCAAGGCGCUUGAGAGAACUCGGGUGAAGGAACUAGGCAAAAUGGCACCGUAACUUCGGGAGAAGGUGCGCCUCUUGGUGUGGUCACGUGCGUGACUGAGCAUCGAGGGGUCGCAGUAACCUGGCCGCUGCGACUGUUUAUCAAAAACACAGCACUCUGCAAACACGAAAGUGGACGUAUAGGGUGUGACGCCUGCCCGGUGCUGGAAGGUUAAUUGAUGGGGUCAGCCGCAAGGCGAAGCUCUUGAUCGAAGCCCCAGUAAACGGCGGCCGUAACAAUAACGGUCCUAAGGUAGCGAAAUUCCUUGUCGGGUAAGUUCCGACCUGCACGAAUGGCGUAACGACAGCGGCGCUGUCUCCACCCGAGACUCAGUGAAAUUGAAAUCGCUGUGAAGAUGCAGCGUUCCCGCGGCAAGACGGAAAGACCCCGUGAACCUUUACUAUAGCUUUACACUGAACGUUGAGUUCUUCUGUGUAGGAUAGGUGGGAGGCUAUGAAACCAGGACGCUAGUUCUGGUGGAGCCAUCCUUGAAAUACCACCCUGAAGUGCUUGACGUUCUAACCUAGGUCCGUAAUCCGGAUCGGGGACCGUGUAUGGUGGGUAGUUUGACUGGGGCGGUCUCCUCCCAAAGAGUAACGGAGGAGCACGAAGGUACGCUCAGCGCGGUCGGACAUCGCGCACUGUGUGCAAAGGCAUAAGCGUGCUUGACUGCGAGAUCGACGGAUCAAGCAGGUACGAAAGUAGGUCUUAGUGAUCCGGUGGUUCUGUAUGGAAGGGCCAUCGCUCAACGGAUAAAAGGUACUCCGGGGAUAACAGGCUGAUACCGCCCAAGAGUUCAUAUCGACGGCGGUGUUUGGCACCUCGAUGUCGGCUCAUCACAUCCUGGGGCUGUAGCCGGUCCCAAGGGUAUGGCUGUUCGCCAUUUAAAGUGGUACGCGAGCUGGGUUCAGAACGUCGUGAGACAGUUCGGUCCCUAUCUGUCGUGGGCGUUGGAGAUUUGAGGGGGGCUGCUCCUAGUACGAGAGGACCGGAGUGGACGUUCCGCUGGUGUUCGGGUUGUCAUGCCCAUGGCAUUGCCCGGUAGCUACGAACGGAAGUGAUAACCGCUGAAAGCAUCUAAGCGGGAAGCACGCCCCAAGAUGAGAUCUCCCGAGAGCUUGACUCUCCUAAAGGCACCAUCAAGACUAGGUGGUUGAUAGGCACGGUGUGGAAGUGCAGCAAUGCAUUGAGCUUACGUGUACUAAUGAGCCGUGAGGCUUGAUCAA